UUGCUGUGAUGAGUUUGGUGCCCAAGUGAUCGUGGGUCGAUCUCAACCAUUUGAUCUUAUUCGGAUGAAAAUCAGUGGCGCAUCUGAGCUU
Benincasa hispida (wax gourd) is the source of this 91-nucleotide small nucleolar RNA. RefSeq annotates it as small nucleolar RNA snoR114. The record is from RefSeq and is a predicted model, not a curated record. Lineage: Eukaryota; Viridiplantae; Streptophyta; Magnoliopsida; Cucurbitales; Cucurbitaceae.